Amphibalanus amphitrite is the source of this 6859-nucleotide RNA transcript. RefSeq lists it as uncharacterized. NCBI's taxonomy places the organism in Eukaryota, Metazoa, Arthropoda, Thecostraca, Balanomorpha, Balanidae. The transcript has 8 exons. The record is from RefSeq and is a predicted model, not a curated record.
GCAGUCGCCAGUCUGUGAGUGGUAGUGUCGGAGGGCGCCCGGAGGAUACGCGCGGGCCGUACUACUGUGGAUUCCUGACCGAGCUCCGCCAGAAAAAUGAGGUUGCUGUGGAUUCUUCUGCCCAUUCUAGCGCAAGGCGCGUUCGGUGCCCUGUUCAAAGAGCAGCCGCCGGGCGAGCUGGUGGUUCACCGAGGUGACGAGGUCACCCUCACCUGCAUCACAAACGAGGACGUCAGCUGCGCGUGGAAGCUCGAGACGCCCGCUCUGGGCAUCAGCGGCUUCCUCUCCAACCGAAUUCCUCCGAAUGUAGACAUCACUGCUCGAGACCCUAACAGCGCCAGAGAUUGCACCAUUGUGCUGCAAAACGUCGACGAGAGGUACAACGGCAAGUACCGGUGCUCGCCCUACACCAGCAAGGGAGGCCAGGAGGAUUCGUCCGGCACAGAGCUUAUCAUCGCCGAGAAGCCGAAGCGGGUCUACUACAUUGGCGAAGUGGCCAGCGGGUUCCCUUUGGAAGCCUCCAGCACGAAUCCCACCACAGUCCAAUGUAUGGCCGAGAUGGCGCGGCCCAAGGCCGAGAUCGUCUGGUACCUGGGCAACACGCAACUGUACGACUCCAUCGAGGUGCAGGACACGCAGGUCAACAGCACCGGCCACUGGAACAGUCUCUCUACGCUCACCUACCAGUUCCACAAGGAGGACAACGGCAAGAGCCUGCGCUGCGUCGCCAGUCACGCCGGCUACGACAAGGAUGACAUGGGGGACCAGCAGGCGCGGGAGACGGCCGUGGAUGUUGACGUGCAGUUCGCCGCCUACCGGCCCGGAGGUAACAACAUCGGCCGGGUGUAUGGCUUCACGGCCGGUCAGCCCGGCGAGGUGACGGUCAACUUCACCGCCAACCCCGUGCCGUCGCGAAUGUUCUGGAAGGUCGGCGACACGGUUCAGGUGCCGGCUGGAGGCACCGACCGAAUCGACAGGCGCUUCAGUUCGGGCAUGAUCACCGUCAAAAACGCCUCGCUGGGCAUGUACGCGCUGACGCUGACGAUCGACCCCGUCCAGAUGGAAGACCAGUCCAAGACGUUUGUGCUGCAGCUGGAGAACAGCGUCGGCAGCACGGCGCUCGAGUUUCAGAUCGGCACCGGCGCGCCGCCGCCACCGGAAGCGGCGCUGGGCGCCACCAUCGGCGGCAUUGUGGCCGCCGUCGUCGUCCUCAUCAUCAUCAUCGCUCUGGUGGCGUUCGGUCGCAGCCGCGGCAAAUGGUGCUUCGCAGGUAAGGCCAAAGACACCGUCGACAAGCCGGCCAAAGCGCCGCCGCGGCCUCUCAAGGCGCAGCGGCCGUCCGCCUCUGCGUCCAACGUCAGCCGAGCUGCUGGCGGAGGCGCGGGCGCGGCCGCGGGCGCCGCGCCCAGGAGGCGGCGUAACUCGCUGCCCACCGACAGUCGGCGGCGUAACUCGCGCGGUCCUGGUGGAGGUGUUGGUGGCGGGAAGUUUGGCGUACCCCUGAGCCUGACCGCACUCAAACAGAGCAUGACCUCGCGACCGAACAAGCGCCGGCUUGGGGUCGAGGACGGGGACCCUGAGCUGGAGAUGGAGGAGGUGACUUAUAUCGCCGGCGAGCCCCCGGCGGAGGAGCAGGGCGGCGGUGAGGGGGAGACCGCCGCGCCGCAGCCGCUCGUCAGAGAGGGCUCUCCGACUCCGGUCCCGAAGUCGAGCUCCGAGGAGGGGUCAGUAGGCGAACAGCCGGCCGAACCUGUGGACAUUCCGGAACUGGAUGUUCCGCCACGCUCGUUGGCCCCCGCCACGCCCCGUGUCGGUGAAGCGGACUUAGCUACAAUGCCAAGGACACCCCCCACUCCCAUUUCCCCGAUACGGUUCCCCACCAGCAGGGCGCCCCCUGCUGCUACGUCGUCACCGAUGACUUCGGAGCUGAGCUCCCCGGCCUCUUCCCUGGGUCACCCGCAGCACCCUCCGACAGGGCGUCCGCUGCCCUCUCACAUGGGCCCGCCCGGCGCCUCUCCAAUGGGCCCUCCGGGGCAGCAGAGACCCUCUCAGAUGGGCCCACCUGGGGCUCGUCAAAUGGGCUACCCCGGGGUCGGGCCACAGCCGGGCCGCCCGGGCCCCGCUCCUAUGGGCGCGCGCGGCCAGGAGCCUGGGGACAGAUACGGACCGGGCCGUCCUGACCAGAGCUGGGGCCCAGGUCCCGCCGGGAUGGGCAUGUACUCCAACACGGCAGCACCGGCGCUCCCGGAGAGAAACCCCCACCAGCCCCAGAUGUCAGCGGGCAGACAGAGGGGCGCCAUCGCCUUCCCUCCCGACAAUCCGGGGUUCUCGACGCGACCUCGGUCUGACUUGCCGCCGCGCGGCUCCCGGGAGGAGCUGGGCAUCCCGUACCCUCCUCCUGGCGCCGUGGUGCGCCGCCCGGGGCCGCCGCUGCCGCCCAAAGGUCGGCCGCAGUCGCAGGUUCCGGCGGGAGCAGUCCAGGUGCUGCCCGGUGAAUUGCGGGCUGAGCUAUCUUCGAGGUACCCCUCCACUCCCUCCCUCCUGGACCCGAUUGGUGACGGCUCAGCGGUGUGACCAAAAGGGGAAACACCGAUGGGGAAGUGCAUGAUGAACCAAGGGAAUGCGUGGCACAAGGCCUGGAGUGUGACACAGGCGGCUAGGGAGUGAAUGUGGUGGGGGCUACGACGCAUCAAAGACUUGCGUGGCAGCCCGUCGAGUGAUGUGGGGUGAAACUGAAGCUUGGGAAAGGCUAGAAUCCGAUGCAGGGUACACUGCCGAAGCGACUUAAAGACGUCUGGAGGCGAUAUCAAGGUGUCAGAGAUGAGUGAAUGUUUGACCAUGACCUUGCGUCAGUUAUGUGGGGACGCUGUUGACAGAUGAAUCACCUGAAUAUGAAUAUGGAGCUACACUUUAUGCAUACACUGUAACUGGUGCUCCUACUGUAAAUAUGGUACCCACAUUACCUUCGGGCUCUGAAAGUAGGCAGUGCUGUUAGGUUCCCAGGGAGAUAUUAGCUACAGCUUACUGCUCAUCAGAACAACAGUCGUAACACCCGCAGUUUGUUAGCUUUAGCAGUUGCUUUGUAUGCCGAUCAGUGUACUAACAGGGUACUAACAGAUUAUACGGAGUAUACUUAUGAGAUUUACAUCAGGCAGGAAACUUUGUUCCGAGUGAACAAACCCCUUCAUCAUGAUCGUGUAGCAUGUUCGCGGCUGUCCUUGCAGCUGCCAUAUUUGUGUCAUUUACAAACUGCUGUCUCUUCCUCCUGUUUCAUGCUGUGCCUCUCUCUUUGUAGACUAACCGUAAGCCGCCUCGAGAGGCCGUGCAUGGCGUAUAUUGGAUGUAUGCAGAUCGCACACUUUGGUCGUAGCAACUAGGCUGCAGCUAACGAGCUUGGCGGAACAAUGAGCAUGCUUCAUGACCAUUGCAUGAUUUAGCGAUUGUUAGAUAUAGUGCAUGUGUGUGGAGUGUAUGGAAGUGAGAAAUAUAGUGAUGCUGCUGAGUAGAGCUUAGAUUUUGUACGAGUUAUUAAGAAAAUGAGCUUUCCUAGAAAUACAGCGGACUGUGCCGUAAACAAAAUGCAGUUUGAACGUACAAAUCGUGGCCAGUUUGCUCUGUACAGUGGACUAAUGCUGUAAAUAAACUGAACCUGAGGACUUAGUUUGGAGAACCUGAGAACUUAGUUUGGAGUAUGCUGCUGACUAAGGACUGAGGAGCAUGUGCAUGCGGUGCCCCGGGGUUCUGCUGCCGGCUGCGCCGCCGCUUGGAGCUUGCAUCUUAUGCCAGGUGAGACUGCGGGGUGGGGUGCGGCGGGGUGGCUGAGCUCUCACACUGACAGCAACAUGCACAGCGCGUACCCAUCGGCAUGCAUGCACAGAACAGCACGGUGUGUGGACAGAUACAUAUGGGGCUGCAGGCUGGUUGGAGCUUCCGCGCGCAAUAGUGGCUGACGUAGAAAUUUGCUCACUCUCCGCACACGCUGUCAGCUGUCGCUUCUAGGGACUGAUGUUUAUAUCUUUAACCCUCGCGGGCCCGGGGGGGGGGGCGUUUUUCGCCCCCCCUGGCGAAUAUUUGCGAUAACUCACGAACGCUUAGGGAUAGGAAGGCGAAACUUUCAGUACCUUUUCUCCCAUCAAUUUGACAUCUUCUGAAGUAAAAAAUUCGGACCUAGCCCCCUUGAUGACGUCACAAGGUCCAUUUUUCUAGACCCCUGCACGGCAAACUUCGGCGUCACAGACGCAAACUUCAAAUAGCUGCUAAAAAUAGAGUUUUAGAGAUAAAGACAAAUUACGAGCACGGCUGUGUAGCGUUUGACCUAGAGAAAAAUAGAAAAAUAGUUUCGGUGACCUGAGGUCAGAGGUCAGGUCAACGACCCCGAAAUGUGGUUUUAGUUUUUCGCAAAUAACUUCGACAAAAAUGGUCCUAGAGCUACGGCAGUGGUACCAUCGCAUUCGCCUUGUCAAGCUGCGUCGAAUGAUAUAUAUUUUGUUCGGAAAAGGUCAAGUUUCAUGUUGACCUCAUGUGACCUCGAAUGACCUCUGGUUGACCUUGACACAUGAAAGGUCGUUUAUGAUGGAUUUGUACCCGCUGAUCACGAAUCUGGCAUCUAUUUUCCUCUAAGCCUUCAUUUAGAGCUUCUGGAUGGCAAAAUCGUCUUAUUUAUUAUUACUAACUUGAAUCAGUGAAAUAGCCUCUAGCAGGGAUACUCUUCUGUGACCUUGACCUUUGAGCAGCCUUGUAUCGUAAGAUGAACCACAAAUAGGGAACUGAUAAGCCUCAAAACAUUUCAAAACAUCUUUGAAGUUAGCACGCAAGAUGUGCGAAAAAGUGCCAAAUUUGAGGUCAAUUUUGAGCGUGACCUUGACCUUGACCUUUGAUUUGGAGCACCUUUUCAGAAUCCUCAGAUUCUCUUCUUUCGUUUGACACCCAAUUUUGCCGGUUUGAUGCAGCCUGCCGUCCUCUAGAAUGCUUACUUUGAGAUCACUACACAUGUGCCGGUUUUGGCCUUUGACCUUGACCUCUGACCUUGAAAAUUGACCUGAGGUCAAAAAUUUUGGGUGCAUUAGAAUCGUCUCAUAAGGACCUUUCGUUUGGUAUCGCUUUUGUUUCCGUAGCUCCCUUAUUUACGGAGUUAGACAGGGGGGGCGAAAAACGCCCCCCCCCCGGGCUGCGGUGGUUGGGAUUACCCCCCGGGCCCGGCCGGGUUAAUGAUCCAUUUUCCUAAAAAUAUAUUAACAUAAUACGGGAGUAAUUAUUCCUCUGUUGAAUGUCUGCUAUUCGUAACAAACGAAACAUGGUUGCUUUGAUGCGGAAGCAUUGUCGAGCAUUCUGCAUAUAUGACGGCUGCCGAAACCUUUUGUCCGGCGCCCAACGAAUGAAGCAUGUGUGCGAUCGGCCGUCACCGGCCAGUCGCCUCUCCGAUCUGUGCUUUGCGAGCUGAAAUGACACGAUAAGGCGUCGGUGGAGGGCCCUCGGCUUUGCCAGGCCAGCUUACAUUGUAGCUUGCCCCGCGGCGCCACUGUCUGGCCUGGUUCCUCGGACCUGGCCUCGACUGCGGCGCCGUCUAGCAGACCUCUGCAACACACGGCCACUAAUAACGAACUAACGUAACCACUACUCACGGCCGCUAACGUAGCCCCGCUGUGAGCCGAAGGCACUCCCAUUCGUUACGCCUUAUCGUGCUGUUUCGGCUUUCAGCGCACGAGGAGGGCGCUGGCGCGGGCGCAGCCGACGACGCUGAGGCGGGGCGCGGCACCGCCGACGGUCACGUCGACAACGACGCGGGGCACGAGCAGAAGCAGGCGACGGCCGUGCAGGACUCGCCGGCGUCGGAGGCUCCUGCCGGCGCCACCGAGCCGCCGCCGGCGCCGGCCGACGGCGAGGCACAGAGGAACGGUGCGAACGGCGCCGCGCCCGCUCCCCCGAGCGAUACGGCUGUCUGAGCCGGCCCCGGAGCACCGCACGAGCCCCAGAGCACCCAACGAGAGCCGAGAGCACCGCACGAGCGCCGCGCCAGCCCGUCUCGAGGCCGGGCAGCGACCGCUCUGUGAUACAUAGCGCCAGAACCCCGCGCAGUGUCGUCCGUUGGUGUCCCUCGCCGGUGACGACGAGCGGAGAGCGCGCGCAGCUCGACGAUCAGCCAGCGCGUGAGGACGUGUGACGUGCUGGUGCACCAAGAGAGCGAGCGCAAAAACUGCGGUCUUGUGCUGCGACCAUGGGGUGCGAACGCUCGUCUGAACGGAACGCUUGAUGGCGUGCGAACUAGUGAAUACGCCUGCCCGUGUCGGGCGACAAGUGAAAGCGCGACGCAUCAGGAUUCGUUAGCAUGCUUGAGCAUGUCUGUAGCUAUCUUGUGAGGCUUGAGGUGUUCCAGCUACUGCCCGAGGCGUAUUUUACCUCUAGAUGUGUGUGUACUGAGUGGCAACGUGCAUUUUAAUGUUUUGCGCCUCGCAACGUGCAAACUCGCUACAAAGAGCGAGUUGCGUUUGAGCGGCGAGCACGGUGUACCCGUGCGCAGAGAGGGGCCGCUUUAGCAGCUUAGCCACGUGCCCCUGGGGGCUGCUGCCAGUGCGCUGGCGCGGGCGUAACAUUCCGCUAGUGCUCGGAGGUACUCCGUGACUGUUGGGCAGCUCGCCUGUCGUAGACAGCUGUGUCUGUGUGUACAAUGUUGAGCGGCGACCGGCGUCGGACUGUCGCGAGAAUGCCAGUGAGAGACGAGAGACGAGAGACGGCGGAUAGACGGCGAAUAGAGACGCGCUGAACAAGCGCGCCGACUGCCCCUAGCUUCUGUUGUGGCAUUUAUGGAUGCUCUAGCUACCGUUGAUGUGACGAAGACAAUACAAUGUGUACAGGUGGACAA